Molecule: long non-coding RNA, 1714 nt
Organism: Brassica napus (rape)
Lineage: Eukaryota; Viridiplantae; Streptophyta; Magnoliopsida; Brassicales; Brassicaceae
Exons: 2
Source: RefSeq, a predicted model, not a curated record
AGGACAAAAUUCUUAAAAUCCAAAAGAAAUUCUCCUUAUUUCCAUAGAUGGAACUUCGGAGCCCAGAUAGAUUUGAAUGGGCUUCUAAUGGAGGAAUGGAUGAAAUUUCCAUCUAUGAGGUCUUCCUGGUGGCGGGUUUUAGAAGAGGAACACAUUCUCUAAUAGCGGAAGUUUGUUAUUUGGUAUUUCUCUUUCACAACUCGAUCCUCUGACUUGGCGAACUCUAAUUUUCACCCAAGUACUGAGAGAGUGCAUACCCUUUAGCAUGCAUGAGAUUUUUAAUGAUAUUUCUUUACUCCACUGGCUAAUAGGAGAGAGUUCUAUCAUAUUUGUUCCCGUGAUGCCCAACCCUUUGCUAAAGAACCGUUAAAGGCUACCUGAGAUAUCAUACCUUUUGAGAAUCGUUGGAAUAUCUAUCUUCUAUCUUCUAUCUUCUAUUUUCUAUAUUUAUAAAAGAGGGUUUUAUCCCUCCUCUUUACGCCACAUAGGAUGCCAGCUAGAUAAGUCGAUGCCUCUCAUCGUGUCCACUUAAAGUAAACGAUGCGUUUCAUUUAAAUUAUUAUGCAUACAUGUGGGCUUCGUAUUAUUUUGGGCCCUAACUUUUUCACACUUUACCAGCCCGUACGGAAACACACCGUUUUGAUACGAGGGUUGAGCCCCUCUUCAUCUCCGAUAUUUGAGAUCGACGCACAAACUGAGUUCUAAAAGCGUUGAUUCGUCUUCACCAAAGUGGACAACGUAAUCUAGGGUUCAUCUUAUUCUUCGAUCCCUGAGCAUCUUCACCAACAAUGGAGUUUCUAUAGGAUGCGUGAGUUAGUCUUGAAGAAUCUCUGUAAGAAGCUUCGAUUGCGUCUUUACGCCUUCCUUUCUAAUCCUUCGAAACGUUAAUGGUUAUUAAUUCAUCGCUUUAACAAACAUCUGAAUACCAUCAACCCACGUCGAGCACGAUCUGAGAUUGAUUCAUCUUAUCCCGCUGCAAGUCGGUCUCUCUGCACCUAUAAAAGGUAAGCCAUCUUUCCUUGAACAUCAUCCUCUCAAUCCGUGAUAACACCAAAGUUAAUUUAUUCUUUGAAUGGCUAACUCAUCAAUCCUCUUCUUUAAUGGCUUCUCGAGCUGCGACACAAGAAGCUGCGGUGAACGGAGUCCUCAUCGGUUCGAAUCAGCCCUAAGGACGAGGAGUCGCGGAGAUCUCUGAUCUCGUACCUCUCAUUCCUCCUCUCGAUAUCUCUCGCUCAUCAUGAUAGAGGAGGAUUACGUGGCUAUGUGAGGAGAUGGAGUUGAGAUGAGGAUGCUAGCUCUUACUGCUUUAGAUGUUCUACGGUUCCUCAGAUUUUUCAAUCGAUACAGGUUUUUGUGUUUUGAGUGAACUUUUGACGCUGAGGAAGUGAGGAUAUGAAAGAGUUCAGUGUGUAGCAUGCAAGACAACAGAUGAGUUAUUGCAAUAAGCUGGCUAAACUUGAUGGAGUUCCAUACCGUGAUUUCACUGGAUAGGUCUAGGGUUUUUUUUUUGGAAAAUAAAAUAAUUUAGUUUGCAUCUUAUUGAGGGUUAACAUGAUAAACUCAAGCAUCUUGCUUAGUUGUUGUUUGUCUUGCGCUGUGUGCUGUUCGCAGGAGAAGAUUUGCCUAUUCUCUACGGGUUUGAAUGUAAGGAUAAUGUUUGAGACCAACACACGAAACCCACCGGGUCUUAUAAAUGACAAUGUCACUUACCAAA